This is a long non-coding RNA of Numida meleagris (helmeted guineafowl), 1487 nucleotides long. Lineage: Eukaryota; Metazoa; Chordata; Aves; Galliformes; Numididae. The record is from Ensembl.
AAACAGGCCAUGCAUGCUGCCAUCCUGUGCUACUUCUGCCCCGUCUGCAGUGAAAAGGCGUGAUUCUGCUCAGAAAUGACCAUCAUGGGAAUCCAAACCCCAGUCAGGUUGGUGUCCUUCUGCCCAGCUCUGCAGACACUCAGGCACAGGUGCUGUGCCUGCCCAGGCCUGGGUCUUUGCUGUCCUGUGAGCACUGGUCUCAGCUUCAUGGAGAAGCUGGGAAUGAGCUCAAGGUGGAUGAGCAGGGAUGCCCUGGAUCUGCCUCGCGCCUAGGGCGCCGGGGGCUCGUCACUUUCCCUCCUUUCUCUGGCAGACAACCAGCUUGGUGGGAUGACAAAACAUAGCCAUCUCUGCGAGAGAGGCACAGGCGCUGCGAUGCCAGCGAGUGCCUUUACCAAGAAGGCAGGGAAGAGACAGAGGAAGAGGGGUGAGUGACCUCUGCAGUCUUCUGGGGCUCUCUGUGGGAUCUCAGCCUCACCACAGGCUGGGGGAGCAAGGAUUGAGCACCAGAGCUGUGCUGGCUACUCCCUGCCUCGGCUUGCUUCGUCCUCACAGCCACAACCCGUUUGCUUCCCCUGGCAGCUGCUCCUCUGCAGCUAGUGUGCCGCAGAAGGCACCCACCGGCACUGAUCUUCCUUGGCCUCCAGCACAAGCACCUGGGAGUGCGACACCUGCACUGGCUUGUGCACCGCCUCCCACACUGACUCUGAGCUUGCCGGCCCCAGCACUUUCAGUCAGGAGGCACCAGGGCCAUCCCACAGCAUUUCAGGACCUGAAAACAUCAGCUCUGGCCCCACCAGCCAGGCAGCAUCGGGCCCGUCAUGCAGCUUCCAGCUGCCUGAGCUCGAUGUCCAGCCCAGAGAGCCUGCAGCAGAACAGAGGACCACCCGCCCAGGUCUGUGUGGGAGGAGUUGGGCACCAGCUGCAGGCGCUGAGACCUGCUCCCAGAGCCCCACCAGAUGGAGGACAUCACUGUUCUCCAGAGGCUCCCAAGCAGCUGCUCCCAGAAAGCGUCCCACGCAGCAGGGGACAGGCCACACAAGAAGCCGCUCCUCAUUGCAAGGUCGGGCCUCAGGCUCCCAGAGCUGGCCCCAAAGACGUUGUGGUGGCAGCCGUGGGUGGGUGGCACCCCAAGGUGCUCAGAGCAGCAACUGCACCUUGGCCAGACCAGCGCCAUCAAGGUUCUCCAGGGCUUCCCCACUGCCUGCAUGCAGGAGACGAUCCGGGCAGUGAGGGUGGGCUCACACUUGAAGCCAAUCCCUAGUGGGGUGUCGCGCUUCAUAUUCCCGCAGCCAGCCCCAAGGACGCCAUGGGAGGCGGUCUAGGCAGCGGGGACCAGCCCGGGCACAAAGCCACUCCCGAGUCCAGCAUCUGAGUAGACGUCCCCGCAGCCAGUCCCAAAGACGGCGCAGGAGCAGCCAUGCCCCAUCCUCGCGUGAUGGUUGUGGUCCCAAGCAGGCAAGAAAAUAAACCUUGAAGAUACUCCA